UACAAUUCUCAGGAUCGUUUGGUGGCUACAACAAAAACCUAAUAAAAAUAAAACUCGAUCCCUUCGGCAAUCCAAAUGAAGCCUAUUUAUAACAAUGUUUGGGAAAACCUUAAAACAUAAAACGACAACGUAAAAGCGGUUCAAAGGUUGUUUUGGCUAAGUUGGUCGAGUGAGCACCUCGAGUGACCAUCUUCUCUGCUUUGCUCGAUCAUGUCACUCGAGUGAUCGUGUCGAGUGACCUGUAAAACCAUCAGCUA
This 257-nucleotide long non-coding RNA is filed under the name Capsella rubella. Its description in RNAcentral is "long non-coding RNA (CRUB_LNC005013)". The record is from RNAcentral. Lineage: Eukaryota; Viridiplantae; Streptophyta; Magnoliopsida; Brassicales; Brassicaceae.